GAUGAACGCUGGCGGCGUGCCUAAUACAUGCAAGUCCAGCGAACGGACGAGAAGCUUGCUUCUCUGAUGUUAGCGGCGGACGGGUGAGUAACACGUGGAUAACCUACCUAUAAGACUGGGAUAACUUCGGGAAACCGGAGCUAAUACCGGAUAAUAUUUUGAACCGCAUGGUUCAAAAGUGAAAGACGGUCUUGCUGUCACUUAUAGAUGGAUCCGCGCUGCAUUAGCUAGUUGGUAAGGUAACGGCUUACCAAGGCAACGAUGCAUAGUCGACCUGAGAGGGUGAUCGGCCACACUGGAACUGAGACACGGUCCAGACUCCUACGGGAGGCAGCAGUAGGGAAUCUUCCGCAAUGGGCGAAAGCCUGACGGAGCAACGCCGCGUGAGUGAUGAAGGUCUUCGGAUCGUAAAACUCUGUUAUUAGGGAAGAACAUAUGUGUAAGUAACUGUGCACAUCUUGACGGUACCUAAUCAGAAAGCCACGGCUAACUACGUG
This 497-nucleotide ribosomal RNA is filed under the name uncultured bacterium. Its description in RNAcentral is "partial 16S ribosomal RNA". It matches the Rfam family "Bacterial small subunit ribosomal RNA", at positions 28 to 507 of the family's 1533-position model. The record is from RNAcentral.